CAGUGAACGCAUUCUAUGUUGUACGAUUACGAUAGAACCAAACCAAACGAGAACGUCUUUUAUUCACUUUACACGUCUGGCUGUUGUACCUGCCGUCCAGAACGCCGAGGGUCGCGGGAGUUGGGGGGUGACUGGGAGAGAGUUAAAACUAGAGAGGAGAUGAGAAGACCCACCGCCACUCUCGCCCACACUUUGCCCUCUCCGCCG
RNAcentral lists this ribosomal RNA (207 nucleotides) under Triticum aestivum (bread wheat). RNAcentral's name for it is "partial small subunit ribosomal RNA". The record is from RNAcentral. Lineage: Eukaryota; Viridiplantae; Streptophyta; Magnoliopsida; Poales; Poaceae.